UAGUGGGUCUAAUCUGGUUUCCUCAGCUUGAAAACAUUGCAGAUCUCAAGGCUGUGGAACUAAACUCCAUAAAAGGAAUAGUGGGUCUUCCUCUGAUUUGCCUUCCAACUUUGUAAUAGUGUGACUCUAAACACAACGGAUGACAUCUUCAGUAAUGUGUUGCCUUAGCAUCAUGCUGGGUCAUUGGGGCUAAGUUCAAAUUAGCUGCUGUUUAUCCAUCUGAUGAUCUCUGCCAAACCUUGGCACAUGUUGGUGAUGGAGGUGGAGUCUGUGUGGAUGGAGCAGAAGUACAGUUGAAUGUAAUCCACAUAUUGGUGGCAUAUGAGCUUCUAGGCCAUCAUGAUCUCUCCAGGUGAUUGGGUCCUGAGUUUGCAACUUCAAGAAAGUAUAUAUACAAUUAACACACUCCUGAAGAGCAGAAAUUAUAUUCCCAUUUAGUCACAGUAUGGGUAAAGUACAGAUUUAGGUGAGAAACCCUGCUCAUUUGGAACAGAUGUGAAAGGCUUGAAUUGUAGCCGCACCACCAUCUCUCCACAGCAUUGAAGGAAGAUAAGUCCAGGAAGAGGCAGCACCGGGGGACUAUGUACCACACUCUCCUAUGAAGCAAUUCUGCUCAGGUUCUUGCUCUGUGAUGACUCAGUGCUUGUGGAGGGGAAGAAUUGCCUCUUAGAGGCACCCAGUGGUGGUGGGUCCGGAAUCAUCUGUCCUUCUUAAGUUGAGAAAACCCCAUGCGCCAACCAACUGGAAAUGUAACCUCUUGCUUUGCUCUUGUUUAAUUGAUUUGAGAAAAUAAUUAAAAGCAGAAUAUUGCAUAUAAAUGGUAGCACUCUCUCAAACUAGCGAAUGACUCUGAACGCUUAUGGUGAAUCAAACGUAGGCAGCUCAAUAGUCUCAGAGGGAGGUUAUUUAUUUGCAAAGCAGUUAAUCUUUUAGGCUGUCACUUCUAAGUCUUUUUGACAGUUCAUGCUGUACUGAUACUAACACAAAUCCCAAGUCUGUAUUGAUUUAUUGAAGAUUUAAAGUAGAUUUGUUUCCAAAAGCUAUAUUCUCAAACAGCAAGAGGUACAGAUAUGCCGGUACAUUUGCAGUCAGACUCAAAUUCAGAUUUUUCUCGUGGUGAUGAAGUUUUAGGAUAUAAUCUUCAAAAGUGACUUAGGCACAUUGGAAAAUUCCACCCUUAGGCUCCUAAGUGUCAUGCCUAGCCAGCCAAGUUGGAAAGCACAGAGUAUUAUACUGAAGUGCACAUCCAUUUGUGCAGGGUAUCUUGCCACUGGCAAAAGGAGUGAGCAGUACACAGCAGUACCGUAUGCUACAUAUGCAUAUUUGAGGAUUUAGAAACAUUGUAUAUCAUAUUACUUUAUUUGAUAAACUGUACAUGAUCAUGGAAUUAGAGCGUAUCCUAAUCCAUAGGUACCGUGGGAAGAAUUAACAUUCUCAUUUGCUGACUUUUGUACUCAUCAAGAUGCAAACGUAACAUUCUCUUGUUGUGGGAUUAUUUUAAAUAGCUGUUAUAAAGAUUAAAGAGCAGCCACCAUAUUAUAAAUUCUUCUAGAACAUACAAGUUUCGAAGGUCUCCUCUUUCCCUUGGUUUGGCAGCAACCCAGAAAGGAGCUCCUGUUUUAAGAGCAAUGUAAGAUGUCAAAUUCAAAUAUGUGCCACGUUUGGUGCAUUUACUAUACCUGGAAACUUUUAUUUAAAGCAUCAGAGAAACACUCAAAAUUAUGAGGCUCCCUUGUUUUUGAGAGGAAAAACAUGGCCAGCCUUGACUAUAAGGGCUGUCAAAUACUGAAGCUGUUCUUUAUUGCAUGUAUUCUGAACACAUUUCCGGUGCUUCUGUUAGCAACUACUAGGUCUGCAUACUAAGAAUGACUGACAUUAUUCAAGGUCAACAUCGAGAAUUUGACCCUGGGAGUCUCGAAAGCAAUAUUUUUGGCAUUUUUCUGAGGGAUAUACAGAAAGACAGGAAUUAAGCAGUAGUACUACAUGCAAAAAUUUGUUAUAAGAAAAUGAAAAAUUUAAAAGCGGGGGUUUUGGAGGGUCUGUAUCCUGAAAUUGGAACAAGUAUCUUUUUUCAUUAUUAUUUAACCUAUAUGGCACCUAGAGGCUGAGCAGGUCAGGGCCCUAUUGUGCUAUGUGCUGUACGAAUAUAAAGAAAAUGCAGUCCCUUACGAGAGUCUAUAAUCUAAAAAUACCUACCUCUUGGCCGCCACUUCUCCAUUUCUGCUUGCCUUGUUACUCUGAGUAGUAAGGGAAGGAUUUCACCCUAAUUUAGUACCUCAUAUGUGAAAUCACCUGGUACGUAACAGAAUUUUGGAGAAUUUAUUCACAUGCUAUAGUCUCAUACAGAGAACACCAGUAGAUGCUGAAGAAGGGCAUUGAACUGUUGCACUGUAUGUCUUAAACAAAGUAGUGUUCAGUCAUAUCUAUCUAUUACUGAAGAUAUUACAAAACUUAACAUAGUGCAGCACCUGGGUUUUACCCAUCUGGCUCACAGCAUUUUGGCAUACUUCAUCAACUGUUCUCCCCAGACCUAAGUCUGUAAUUUAUGACCUUGGAAAAGUUCUUGAAAAUGGAUAUAUAAAUAUGAUUUUUUUUGAUGUUCAGCUUGACAUCUCAGGACAUGUUUGUGGCAGACUAGGCUAGAAUUUCUCUUCCACGCAGACUCUUACUCCUUAUCUGGCAACAUUUUUAACAAACGCAAGAGGCCUUUAAAUAUCCUUCUAGAACUACUAAAAUACCACUAUUGGGUCAUACUCUGAUACCCUUACUUACUUUUAUUAAUAACUUCAUUGGCCAUCUGUGCCAUUGAUUUCAAUGGGGAUGUUCAAGGAGUAAGGUACUACUCAAAGUGAGCACAAGUAUGUACAGAAUAUGAACUUCAAUUUAUAGGGGGCCUUUUCUCAUUGACUUUAAUUACCCCAGAAGAAUGUCUCCAGAGAAAAUCUAGUAUUUACGAGUCUCUCUCUCUCUUUCUUUUGUAGAAGAUGUAAAAAAAAAAAAAAUGCACUGACCAUCAGUACAUUUAGGGCGAAUUGCCAACCCUUCUUUGCCUUUUCUGGGAUUUUAAAGAUAUCUCUAAUUAGUAUUUUUUCCCUUUCCCUUAAGAAAUAAUAGUGAAAACAUACACCAUUCAUUCUAACAGCAGGUGAUACAGUAUGACAUUAGUUGUAAUAAAUUGGAUUUGUGGAGUUUAAUUAAUUAAUGUGUGUAAGAUUUAAGAUCUUCAGACAACUUGCUAUGUGAGUCCUAAAAAAAAAAAAUUGUUGGGUUCUGUCCCAAUGCUAUAUGAAUUCAGAUUUACUGGUUACCAUUAGGUCUGUAUAUGUACAUUAUAUAUUUAUAGAAUGGAGUCUACCUGGCUAUUGGACUUGACCUCCUAUGAACCCCAGGCAAUUGAGAAUAAUCUUUGCCUGGCUGGGGUUGCAUGCUCUGUACCAGCUAGUGUGUGUACAUUUGUGUGUGCGCCAUUGCCUUAUGUUGGGCGGAAAGUCAUACUUGUUCAUUUGUGCGUGAUCAUGUUGCAUUGUGCAGGUUGGCCCACAUAGUCUACAAGCAUACUAUUACUACUGCUAAAGGAGAUCCAUCCUUAACUAAAGCCAUGGAAAUCUUGGAGUUCAGGAUCCUGGGUUCUCUCCCUAGUGUACAGUUUCCCUGACGACCAUGCUGUCUGAAUGUAUGAAACCAUGAAUGUAUUACAACCUCUAUCUAUGGGUCUCAGUCAUCCACCUUCCUUUCAUCCCUCUGUCUCCUCCACAGUCAAUCCUUCAUACUGUAUCUCAUGCCACUUGACCAUGCUUCUAUUCCUCUUGGCACUGCUUCCUUUCACCUGCACAUUGCUCACUUGGCCAGAUCCAGUUCUUUUUAAGUCAAUGGAAAGACUCCCAAUUGACACAUGCAGUUCUGGGAGCACCACUGCUUUUUCACUGUUUCCUUCCCCUUUAUUACACCCCCACUCAGCCCCUAACACUGAAACGUGGCUGUCUGGAAGGAAUGGCUGCAAGAGAACUGUAACUCAAAAUCCUCUCUAAACAGCACAUAAACCUUUGACCAUAACCUAGAGCAAAUCAACAUCACCAUCCCUGGAUACCAUCAUACUUGUCAACACAUCUUAUUAGAGGUUAGGAAAGCUCCUAAAUAUUUCAGUAAUGAUUUUUAUUGCAAUAAAGAAUUGUGUAUUAAACCAUUUUGUAUUGCCCUUGAUAAAGGGUUUAUUUCAUGAACGACUGCACAAGCCUCCGGUGAAUUUACAGGGAACCUGGACACAUCACUGUGGUACUAGUAAAUUCUAGUAAAAGAGAAGGGGAGGUUGGAAGCUGAUAAGAGGUGAUGACUCUGGGAAAGAAGAUAAUCCAAGCAAGAAUAAGCAAAGAGCAUUGAGUCGUGAAAGAAACACCUAAACAUUUUCAGAAAAUCUGAUGCAAAUAUUAAAGCCAUGGAUCAGAACUUUAAAUAAUACAGAUGGAACAUAAGCAGUACUAUGAACACCACUGAUUAGGGAUGAGUUAGGGGGUUUCAUCUCUCUAUAACUGGAUGUAUUAACUCUGAUAUUUAUGUAAGGAUGAAAUCUUAUGAUUAAAA
Molecule: long non-coding RNA, 4578 nt
Organism: Chrysemys picta bellii (western painted turtle)
Lineage: Eukaryota; Metazoa; Chordata; Testudines; Emydidae
Source: RefSeq, a predicted model, not a curated record